Molecule: transfer RNA, 86 nt
Filed under: Pyrinomonadaceae bacterium
Lineage: Bacteria; Pseudomonadati; Acidobacteriota; Blastocatellia; Blastocatellales; Pyrinomonadaceae
Description: tRNA-Ser
Rfam family: tRNA
About the family: Transfer RNA (tRNA) molecules are approximately 80 nucleotides in length.
Source: RNAcentral
GGAGAGAUGACGUUGGUGGUAGCCGUAGCGAUUUGCUAGACCGCCGGGAAAUUCCCUUGCAGGUUCAAAUCCUGUUCUCUCCGCCA